GCAUGGAUGGUACACAGCGGUGAUGUCUGCCGAUACACAGUCAUGUGGGGCACGGUGAAGCUUGUGCCAGUGACAGCCACAAGAAGAGGUGUCUGCUCGGAUGGUUUCAGAAGGCUGUCUGCACUCAGAGAAAGCCACACGUGCAGGAAGACUCCACAGGAACCCCACUGAGCUUAACCUGGAGACCAGAGGGCCAUGGGGAGAGCAGCAGUCGUGCUCAGCAGGACACCUGAGGCCUCCUCCAGCCAGAAUGAUCCAUCACUCCCAGCC
Long non-coding RNA from Neopsephotus bourkii (Bourke's parrot), 270 nucleotides. RefSeq lists it as uncharacterized. Lineage: Eukaryota; Metazoa; Chordata; Aves; Psittaciformes; Psittacidae. The transcript is spliced from 3 exons. The record is from RefSeq and is a predicted model, not a curated record.